This is a regulatory RNA element of Oscillibacter sp. CAG:155, 116 nucleotides long. It matches the Rfam family "THF (Tetrahydrofolate) riboswitch aptamer". Rfam says of the family: THF riboswitch presents a pseudoknot that joins P1-P2 and the loop of P3 and two THF binding. The record is from Rfam. NCBI's taxonomy places the organism in Bacteria, Bacillati, Bacillota, Clostridia, Eubacteriales, Oscillospiraceae.
GGCAGAGUAGGAACAUACGUGAAAAAGAGUGCCGGAAAAACGGGGAGUUGUUUUCCGGACGAAGGGGCGGGCCGUAUCGGCCGAUGUCCGCAGUGUGUGUUCCGCAUCCCGCUGCC